This 495-nucleotide ribosomal RNA is filed under the name uncultured bacterium. RNAcentral's name for it is "partial 16S ribosomal RNA". It matches the Rfam family "Bacterial small subunit ribosomal RNA", at positions 28 to 507 of the family's 1533-position model. The record is from RNAcentral.
GAUGAACGCUGGCGGCGUGCCUAAUACAUGCAAGUAGAACGCUGAAGGAGGAGCUUGCUCUUCUGGAUGAGUUGCGAACGGGUGAGUAACGCGUAGGUAACCUGCCUGGUAGCGGGGGAUAACUAUUGGAAACGAUAGCUAAUACCGCAUGACAACAGUUAUUGCAUGAUAACUGUUUAAAAGGGGCAACUGCUCCACUACCAGAUGGACCUGCGUUGUAUUAGCUAGUUGGUGAGGUAACGGCUCACCAAGGCGACGAUACAUAGCCGACCUGAGAGGGUGAUAGGCCACACUGGGACUGAGACACGGCCCAGACUCCUACGGGAGGCAGCAGUAGGGAAUCUUCGGCAAUGGACGGAAGUCUGACCGAGCAACGCCGCGUGAGUGAAGAAGGUUUUCGGAUCGUAAAGCUCUGUUGUAAGAGAAGAACGAGUGUGAGAGUGGAAAGUUCACAAUGUGACGGUAUCUUACCAGAAAGGGACGGCUAACUACGUG